UACGGGGGGGGCAAGCGUUGUUCGGAAUUACUGGGCGUAAAGGGCGCGUAGGCGGCCUGCUAAGUCGGACGUGAAAUCCCCGGGCUCAACUCGGGAACUGCGUCCGAUACUGGCGGGCUCGAAUCCGGGAGAGGGAUGUGGAAUUCCAGGUGUAGCGGUGAAAUGCGUAGAUAUCUGGAGGAACACCGGUGGCGAAGGCGGCAUCCUGGACCGGCAUUGACGCUGAGGCGCGAAAGCCAGGGGAGCAAAC
This 250-nucleotide ribosomal RNA is filed under the name uncultured bacterium. RNAcentral describes it as "partial 16S ribosomal RNA". It matches the Rfam family "Bacterial small subunit ribosomal RNA", at positions 524 to 773 of the family's 1533-position model. The record is from RNAcentral.